RNAcentral lists this ribosomal RNA (445 nucleotides) under uncultured bacterium. RNAcentral describes it as "partial 16S ribosomal RNA". It matches the Rfam family "Bacterial small subunit ribosomal RNA", at positions 354 to 796 of the family's 1533-position model. The record is from RNAcentral.
GUGAGGAAUAUUGCGCAAUGGAGGCAACUCUGACGCAGCCAUGCCGCGUGCAGGAAGAAGGCGCUACGCGUUGUAAACUGCUUUUAACCGGGAAGAAACCCCAGGACGUGUCCUGGGUUGACGGUACCGGAGGAAUAAGCACCGGCUAACUUCGUGCCAGCAGCCGCGGUAAUACGAAGGGUGCAAGCGUUAUCCGGAUUCAUUGGGUUUAAAGGGUGCGUAGUCGGAGCGUUAAGUCAGUGGUGAAAUCCUGCAGCUUAACUGUAGACUUGCCAUUGAUACUGGCGCUCUUGAGUGCGCUUGAAGUGGGCGGAAUGUGCCGUGUAGCGGUGAAAUGCUUAGAUAUGGCACAGAACACCAAUUGCGAAGGCAGCUCACUAAGGCGAUACUGACGCUGAGGCACGAAAGCGUGGGGAUCGAACAGGAUUAGAUACCCGAGUAGUCC